Molecule: long non-coding RNA, 335 nt
Organism: Astatotilapia calliptera (eastern happy)
Lineage: Eukaryota; Metazoa; Chordata; Actinopteri; Cichliformes; Cichlidae
Source: Ensembl
CCUGGAGGAACAACAUUCAGGCUGAUGAUGAUGAUGGGGUCGUCAUCCUGAUUCGCUCUCUUUUUGCGGUUCAUUUUUGUCUCAACACGACACUCGUAACUUCCACGGUCAUCAAGCGUCACAUCCUUCAGUAUCAACGCCACGUCUCCAUCCUUCAUCUGUCUGUCCUGUAGCUCCACUCGGUUCUUAAACGAUGGAUGCUGGUUCUCUAGAUCAAACCGCUCAUCCCGGUACAAAAAUUCAGCUGUGAUGUUUACGAGGUCUACAGGACAAAAGAGACAACUGAAACACUCACCUGCAGCAGCAGUCAGGGAGGAGUGGAGAAACAACAAAGC